This 508-nucleotide ribosomal RNA is filed under the name Chlorodiella barbata. Its description in RNAcentral is "partial 16S ribosomal RNA". It matches the Rfam family "Bacterial large subunit ribosomal RNA", at positions 1838 to 2594 of the family's 2925-position model. Lineage: Eukaryota; Metazoa; Arthropoda; Malacostraca; Decapoda; Xanthidae. The record is from RNAcentral.
UGAAGGUGUAAAUGGUCUGGCCUGCUCACUGAUAAUUACAUUUAAGAGCCGCGGUAUAUUGACCGUGCAAAGGUAGCAUAAUCAUUAGGGGUUUAAUUGGAACCUAGUAUGAAGGGUCGGACAAAGGAAAAGCUGUCUUUAUAAGUUUGGUUGAAGUUUACUUUUAAGUGAAAAGGCUUGAAUAAAUCAAAGGGACGAUAAGACCCUAUAAAGCUUUAUAGAUAAUCUAAAUUUAGCUAAUCUAAAAAUGAAAGCAAGGUAAAGUUAUUCUAUUUCGUUGGGGUGAUGUGAGUAUAAUUGUUGUUAACUGCUUAAAUUUUAUACUUAUGAAAAAGAAUUGAAAAUAAAUGAUCCUAUUUAAAGAUUAAAAGACUAAGUUACUUUAGGGAUAACAGCGUUAUUUCUUUUGAGAGUUCAUAUCGAAAAAGAAGAUUGCGACCUCGAUGUUGAAUUAAAAUAUCUAUAUAAUGCAGCCGUUAUAAAAGAGGGUCUGUUCGACCUUUGAAUU